UAGGGAAUCUUCCACAAUGGACGCAAGUCUGAUGGAGCAACGCCGCGUGAGUGAAGAAGGUCUUCGGAUCGUAAAACUCUGUUGUUAGAGAAGAACACGAGUGAGAGUAACUGUUCAUUCGAUGACGGUAUCUAACCAGCAAGUCAUGGCUAACUACGUGCCAC
RNAcentral lists this ribosomal RNA (164 nucleotides) under uncultured bacterium. RNAcentral describes it as "partial 16S rRNA". It matches the Rfam family "Bacterial small subunit ribosomal RNA", at positions 355 to 511 of the family's 1533-position model. The record is from RNAcentral.